AUUGAACGCUGGCGGCAGGCCUAACACAUGCAAGUCGAGCGGUAGAGAGAAGCUUGCUUCUCUUGAGAGCGGCGGACGGGUGAGUAAUGCCUAGGAAUCUGCCUGGUAGUGGGGGAUAACGUUCGGAAACGGACGCUAAUACCGCAUACGUCCUACGGGAGAAAGCAGGGGACCUUCGGGCCUUGCGCUAUCAGAUGAGCCUAGGUCGGAUUAGCUAGUUGGUGAGGUAAUGGCUCACCAAGGCGACGAUCCGUAACUGGUCUGAGAGGAUGAUCAGUCACACUGGAACUGAGACACGGUCCAGACUCCUACGGGAGGCAGCAGUGGGGAAUAUUGGACAAUGGGCGAAAGCCUGAUCCAGCCAUGCCGCGUGUGUGAAGAAGGUCUUCGGAUUGUAAAGCACUUUAAGUUGGGAGGAAGGGUUGUAGAUUAAUACUCUGCAAUUUUGACGUUACCGACAGAAUAAGCACCGGCUAACUCUGUGCCAGCAGCCGCGGUAAUACAGAGGGUGCAAGCGUUAAUCGGAAUUACUGGGCGUAAAGCGCGCGUAGGUGGUUUGUUAAGUUGGAUGUGAAAUCCCCGGGCUCAACCUGGGAACUGCAUUCAAAACUGACUGACUAGAGUAUGGUAGAGGGUGGUGGAAUUUCCUGUGUAGCGGUGAAAUGCGUAGAUAUAGGAAGGAACACCAGUGGCGAAGGCGACCACCUGGACUAAUACUGACACUGAGGUGCGAAAGCGUGGGGAGCAAACAGGAUUAGAUACCCUGGUAGUCCACGCCGUAAACGAUGUCAACUAGCCGUUGGAAGCCUUGAGCUUUUAGUGGCGCAGCUAACGCAUUAAGUUGACCGCCUGGGGAGUACGGCCGCAAGGUUAAAACUCAAAUGAAUUGACGGGGGCCCGCACAAGCGGUGAAGCAUGUGGUUUAAUUCGAAGCAACGCGAAGAACCUUACCAGGCCUUGACAUCCAAUGAACUUUCUAGAGAUAGAUUGGUGCCUUCGGGAACAUUGAGACAGGCGCUGCAUGGCUGUCGUCAGCUCGUGUCGUGAGAUGUUGGGUUAAGUCCCGUAACGAGCGCAACCCUUGUCCUUAGUUACCAGCACGUCAUGGUGGGCACUCUAAGGAGACUGCCGGUGACAAACCGGAGGAAGGUGGGGAUGACGUCAAGUCAUCAUGGCCCUUACGGCCUGGGCUACACACGUGCUACAAUGGUCGGUACAGAGGGUUGCCAAGCCGCGAGGUGGAGCUAAUCCCAUAAAACCGAUCGUAGUCCGGAUCGCAGUCUGCAACUCGACUGCGUGAAGUCGGAAUCGCUAGUAAUCGCGAAUCAGAAUGUCGCGGUGAAUACGUUCCCGGGCCU
Molecule: ribosomal RNA, 1358 nt
Filed under: uncultured bacterium
Lineage: Bacteria
Description: bacterial SSU rRNA
Rfam family: Bacterial small subunit ribosomal RNA
Source: RNAcentral